GUGAUCACCUGGAUCAGCGGGAGGCAACGUGUGUCAGUUCCCAAGGUGCGUAAUAACACCUUUCGCAUCUUGGAAGGGGCCUGGCUCUGCUCCGCAUUCUCAGGGCGACCCUGUCCCGAAGGCGCCGUGCCUUUCCUUGGACUCAGGCGAUCACCCUUUGCAGUGGGCUCAUCCAAGGGACACUCAAGGGACACCGCACGUAAUCGCGCAGCGGUGGAGCGGAGCCCUCCGGGGACCCCAGCGACCGGGGCCCUGAGACCCGUCCCAAGGCGGGAGACGAGGAGCCGUGCCCGGGACGAGCACUGGACUCCGGGCGGCCUUCGCCCUCGGGUCUGCCCGCCGCGGGGAGGAGCCGGCCUCGGGGUGGAGGCGUCGGCAGCGCGCGGCCGCCAGCAGGGGCGCCAGGUUCAGAGCCGCCGGGGCCGUCGCCGCCAGCCGCGUCCGGGAACCAGACGCCGCGAAGCCGAGUCCCGCUCGGGGGGCAGCCGCGGAGCGCCCCGGGGACACGGGCUCCUGCCUCGGCCUCCGGGGAGCCCCACCUCCCGGCACGCGGCUGCUUGGGGGGGCGAAGGGGAUCGGGGGAAACGGGGGCGCGGAGAGGGCGGGGCUGCGCGGGCGGGAGGGCGGGCGGAAGCGGGGGCGGGGCGGGGGCGGGAGCGGGAGGGGCGGGGCGGGGCGGGGAGCGGGAGGGGCGGGGCGGGGCGGGGAGCGGGAGGGGCGGGGCGGGAGCGGGAGGGGCGGGGCGGGGCGGGGAGCGGGAGGGGCGGGGCGGGCGCCGCGCCUCCGAGCCGCACUCGUGCAGCCCGCACAAUGGAGGCCCCGCCCCCGCCCUCGACCCCGGCCCCGCCCCCCUCCCUCGCCCGCCACCUGAGCCCUCGGGAGGACGCCGCGCUCGCUCCCGGGGCCGACCCCGCCCCCUUGCCCCGCCCCCGCCCCGCAAGGCCCCGCCCCGUCGGCCCCCCGCCCCCGCCCCCCAUGCCCGUCCCGCCCGCGACCCGCCCCCAGCCCCGCCCCCCCUGCCCCCCCUGCCCCCCGCCCCUCCUGCCACCUGAACCCUCGGGCGGACGCCGCGCUCGCUCCCGGGGCCGCCCCGCCCCGCCCCGCGCCCCGCCCAUCGCCCCUCCCUCUCUUCGCCCCCGCCCCGCCCGCCACCUGAGCCCUCGGGCGGACGCAGUGCUCGCUCCCGCGCCCCGCCCCUGCACUCGCCCCGCCCAAGCCCGCCCCGCCCCUCGCCCCGCCCCGCCCCUGCACUCGCCCCGCCCCCGCCCCGCCCGCCCGCCCGCCACCUGA
RNAcentral lists this long non-coding RNA (1290 nucleotides) under Canis lupus familiaris (dog). RNAcentral describes it as "lncRNA (ENSCAFG00040011128.1)". Lineage: Eukaryota; Metazoa; Chordata; Mammalia; Carnivora; Canidae. The record is from RNAcentral.